GUCACUUUGCCGGAGUGGUUAACGGGAUCGCCUGCUAUUCAUCUCACGUUAAAGCGGUGGGAAUCGAACAGUCAAGCGGUUGGGCUUUGCCCGCGGGUGUUCGAAUCGCCCAGGUGACG
Non-coding RNA from Fomitopsis serialis, 119 nucleotides. The record is from the annotation of a RefSeq genome assembly. NCBI's taxonomy places the organism in Eukaryota, Fungi, Basidiomycota, Agaricomycetes, Polyporales, Fomitopsidaceae.